Molecule: ribosomal RNA, 253 nt
Filed under: uncultured bacterium
Lineage: Bacteria
Description: partial 16S ribosomal RNA
Rfam family: Bacterial small subunit ribosomal RNA
Source: RNAcentral
UACGAAGGGAGCUAGCGUUGUUCGGAAUUACUGGGCGUAAAGGGCGUGUAGGCGGUAUCAUAAGUCAGAUGUGAAAGCCCCAGGCUUAACCUGGGAGGUGCAUUUGAUACUGUGAAACUAGAGAUCGAGAGAGGAAAGUGGAAUUACGAGUGUAGAGGUGAAAUUCGUAGAUAUUCGUAAGAACACCAGUGGCGAAGGCGACUUUCUGGCUCGAUACUGACGCUAAGGCGCGAAAGCGUGGGGAGCAAACAGG